GUGCUGGUCCUUCUCACAAGGCUUAAGAACAGCAAUAUCCAGCGCUUGCUGAAUGUUGAGUUCCAAACCUCUAAAGGAAGGAAUACUGACCUGAACGAAACAGUGAACAAAGUAACCUGAAAAUAGAGAACGUUUUCACAUGCUUGAAUUUUCAGUGCAAUAAAACCAGUACUGCCAGAAGGAGUCCCACAAGUGAUCCCAUCUUGGACUGUGAACUCCUCAGGCAGGAGAUGGAUAUUCACAUCUGGAAGUGGUAGUAACACAUCUGGACAAGUUAAUAUUUAAUUUUUGCUUUUAGAAACAACAGUUUGGUAGUGCUGGAUUUAUAACAGCAUCUAUAUAUGUGUCAGCACAGUCGAUUAGUAUUUAACAGCCACAGGGCUCUAGCUAAGCCAAGGAACAGGACAGCAUAAAUGUCUGAGAUAUAAAAGCCGAAUAAAAGUCAAGAAGGGCAGGAAACCCCUCCAAUCCAAUGUCUCUUUGGACAGGGACUCUUAAUUUCACAAUGCAGAAUGUAACCUAAAGAGAAUUUUCCAAUAAACCUCCUCCACUCUUAUUCUGGAAGGCACAGACCAGCUCAGCUCCCUACAAAAUUCACAACUGCACACCUUAUGAGAAGAAUAGGAGCAAAACAUUCUUAAGCACCCAUAUAUCUGAAAAGCUUAUGGCUCACAUUCAGAAGUACCUGAAGUUUUAUUGACUUUGAAUUUCAUUUCAGAUUUUAAAGAACAUUUUGACUGCCUCUUUGUCUCUAGUACCUGGGAAGUGUUACAGGACCAUGCAGCUCUUCAUAUAUUACAAGCAAACGCUCUGGUAAGUUAAGAAAGGUCAAUAUAGGAAAAAAAAAAAAUCAGGUUUAGCAACUGUGAAAUGGAAACUUUACACCCCAAAAAUCCAAAUAGAAUCACUGGAUUUGUUCAACUACGUACUAUUACUCACUCCCUGUCAUCUGUGUUACUGAACCACCACCCUGCUUCAAAGGCAGUUAUCAGCCCAGAAAUACUUUCAUCCCAGGGUUUCAACUGCAACAUCUGCGAGGGCACGUGGAAGAUUCUUCCGUCAUUAUCUAACCAUUCCGUUCUUGACUGGGAAGGUCUGUGACUAGCGGAGAUGGACAAACAGUUGAAGGGGGAGGUAUCUGACUGUUUAAUAUACAUGCCAAACUCUCUUUCUAGGGUCACGGGGACUCAGCAGUUCCUGGGGGCUGUCAGACUGAUUACACACAGCAAACCAGCCGGUGUGUCUGUGCCGGCUGCUCAGAGUAAGCACUGAUACGCCAGCUGGACUUUACUAUCACGUACAAGCUUAUGUGUGCUUGAGAUGUUGUAUAGCCUUCAACUCCCUGGUGUACUCAGUAAUUUAAAAGCUUUCAUAUACUCUAAAAAGUUUUGUCUUGCACUCCAAGGGGGAUCUUUGCUUCUAAUACAGAGCCCAAGUCUGCAAGUUCCUCGUGGAACACCAGGCUCCCAGCAUAGAUGUACAAUUGUUAAGCAGCAGCUCAUUGCGUUUCAGCAGCGGUAAAAUGAUCCUGGUUUUAUAGUUCUCUACAAUAAUUUCUGUAAAGGCUGUGGGAUUUUGGGGGAUGGAAGGCUAUAAAAACAUAAGUUGCUAGUGAUUAUCUUGACUUGCAUGAUUUUAUGUAUGCCCAUUUUGUGUUGCAGAAAUACUUGGCAGGAAAUGUACUCUUCUUUCUUUUUCACACAUCAUUACAUUGUAUUUGAGAGGAUUUAACACAUUUUCUGAUUUCACUUGACAAAUUCGGGGUUUGUGCUUAAAUUUUACAGCUAACUGGACAUUCCAGAAACUAUGUGUGAUGACCAAUUAUGUUUCUGUAACAUACCUAACUAUGGAAAGAAAUAUUGGAAGAUCUUAACUUUUACAUCAAGGAGCAAAUAUGAGAUUAUCUUUACAAAGAGGCACUGCUUAUUCAGUUCUUAAGAAAAACAUUCAGUUACUGCUACACUAUGUAACUUGUAUGGUCAUUAAUCAUUAUCAGUUCCUGCCCAACCCCCUGUAUAUCCAAAUAUACAUAAAGGAAAGCUAACACAAAUUUUCUUCAUUUGUUUGGCAAAAUUCAUUGCCAUCCAGAAGGCUGCAAAAAUCCCACUCCCUUAUUUGUCAAUACCAGAGUACUCGUGCUGAGUUUGAAAGAUGCCACAUACAGUAUAGUUUUGAAACUUGAACCGUGCAGCCUGAAGUUCAAACCAAAGCACAAAUUCUAACUCUGUAAUACAGAGGGAAAAGAGGUAUUUGUGAUAUAGGCAGCACAGCUACUUGGACAGUAUAGUUCAGGAAAAAAUGUUACUGUUCCAUUAAAGAACUGAGAAAGAAGAAAAACACCAAGCUGCUACAACUGCAUAGGAAAGAGACAAGGGAAACAGAAGGAAGAAAACGACACCAUGUGCAUGAGCUUACCUUGUCUGAACGUGAAGGUGGCCAGAUUAAUUGAUCUUGGGAGAUGCAUAUGGAGUAUGAGAGAAGUUACCUCAGGAAGGCCUCCAGCCAUCCCUCUUGGGAAGGAUUUGAUAAUCUUGCAUUUAUAAACUCGCAACAUUUUGCUUACCUUUUGUGCCAAGCAGUUACGAGAGCUGGUUGAUGUAAGCGAAAGCAGAGGACUAACAGACGGCAGCUCCUCGCUCCUGUUUGCACGGGGAAGCACAAUAGAAAUUGUGGACAUGCCGCCGCAGUUGUGGGUGGCAAUGGUGCCAAGGAUGUAGCGGGUAGGAAGUGACAGCUGGGAAUACAAAAGAAAAAAGCAAUUGGGAUUGGGAACCAACAGGUGGGAGCGGGAAUCAGAAAACUAUAGUAAGAUCUCUGAGGAGGCAGGAACCAAUUCAGACCUUGCUGAGUAAAUCCAUUGGAAGGGCAACCUGAAGAGGAAACAAGAAGCAAGCAGAGAGAACAUAUGUAACUGGAAAGCAAGUACAAAAGGCAAGUUCCUACUUCAUCGAAGCUGCGCUUCUUAGCCUGACCUGCAUUGUAAUAUUAAUCUCUGAAUGAUAUAUUGUAUAUUUUGAUAUAAAA
Molecule: long non-coding RNA, 3024 nt
Organism: Columba livia (rock pigeon)
Lineage: Eukaryota; Metazoa; Chordata; Aves; Columbiformes; Columbidae
Exons: 2
Source: RefSeq, a predicted model, not a curated record